Non-coding RNA from Jejuia pallidilutea, 110 nucleotides. Lineage: Bacteria; Pseudomonadati; Bacteroidota; Flavobacteriia; Flavobacteriales; Flavobacteriaceae. The record is from Rfam.
GUGCGUUAAGGAUAGAAACGGCAUCCUUUUUACGUCAGUUCGAGUGAAUUUGCCAGAGCAAAUUUGUAUCGAGAACAAGUAAAAAGAUAUAGUGGAUAGCCUGUUAAAAC